Felis catus (domestic cat) is the source of this 5831-nucleotide long non-coding RNA. RefSeq lists it as uncharacterized. The transcript has 5 exons. The record is from RefSeq and is a predicted model, not a curated record. Lineage: Eukaryota; Metazoa; Chordata; Mammalia; Carnivora; Felidae.
GAACCUUAAUGGUUACAUAAUGUGCCCCCCCGGAGUGUAAUGGGGUACAUCAGGAGGCUCUGCUGCUGAGCUGCCAGGCAUGUGCCUUGGAUUCGUGGAUUUAAAAUCAAUUCAAGUUGUAGGGCAGUCACUUUGUGGAGGUUCUGUCUUCCUUUGUGAUGUCACUUGUAAUUCGACGGGAUGAUCUUGCUGACCGGCAACAAGGGAGAUCUGUGGAAUGUGUGACGUGGUGCUGCUGGGCUCUUCUGGGUGAGGAGGUUGGCCUGACUUGGGAUAGGAAAAAGGAAUCAGCAAAGAUGAAGGAUGUGAACAUCACUAAUCAGGCGAUGCAUUUCCCAGGCAGGCCUGCAGGUGACAGACCACGAUUCCUCGAUGUCUUCCAGAAACAGAGCGCGUGCAAGUGGGGGAAGGAGAGACAGCCAGAAAGGAGACAGACUCUGAAGCAGGCCCGGAGCAGUCAGCCCAACGCCGGAUGCAGGCCCGAACCCACGAAAUGUGUGAGAUCAUGACCUGAGCCGAAGUCGGAAGGUCAACCAACUGAGUCACCCCACGUGCCCCACUCAAGAUAUUUUUGAGAACUCCCUAACUUCAACUGAUGCUGUCAUGUACAGAAUUCUAAGACUAUAUUUCUCACGUUUCUUUGCUACUACUACGUAUGGUUACAGGAUUCAGUUCUGGCCCAUAACAUCACUUCCAGCGCACCUACCAAAAAUGAGAAGUGGGCGGACAGUGUUAAAUGCAUUCAGAAAAGAAAAUCAGAAGAUGUGAAGCUAUUCUGAAAACCAGAAAAGCACUAUACAAGGUGGCCAUCAACAAGAAGUAAAUAAUAUAAAAAGAAAGGAGAAUCACAGGUGGGUAACAGGAAAGGCAAUCUUAAAAUGGCUGCCUGUCUUAAACAAUCCCCCGCUAAAAGCUUCUCUGAGAGGUUAGUCCCAGGUCACAACCAAGGAAGGUAGACCCCUUAUAAUUUGUCCAUACAUCUCUUCCACACCUGUCCUACAGCUCUGUCUGAAAAGAGCAAGGCCUCUUCAUAGCAAUGGACUCCAAGGAAACCUUAAAAUACAGGUAAGAGCUCAUUCCUUCAGCUUAGGAACCUUGAUCUGAAAAAUCUAAGCCAGGAAUAAUGUAAGUGAGAUGCCUUCCCUAACAUCACUAAAAACACCCAAGGCUCAGCACAAGGAAAUCACACUGACAGGGACAGUAAUCGGGAGACAAUAACCUGGUCUUUGAUGAGUUCCAAUGCAGAGUCCUCAAGAUCCAACUCGUAGCACAACCUCAUGAAAAGUGGUCCAAAUUUAUACUCUCCCAAAGUGACAUUUCUGUUCUCUGUAUGGUACCUGGUAAUGAAAAUGAUUCAGUGAGUCAAAUAGUGAGAUGCAGGGAAAAGGACAGACCGACUGUGGCAUGUACUCUGCUAGAUGCUGGGGACACAAUAAAGAACGAGGUACUCUCACAGUCCGGAGGGAGAAAAGUGCAGAAACGAGGACAAUGAGAGGAAUUCUGGAGUGAAGUAUGCCAGACAUUUAAAUAGAAAGGAUUUGCGAGAGGCCCACAUGACUACAUGAAAUCAAAGAAUGGAAAAACGUACAUUGUAAUUAUCUUCUCAAUAUAUCAACAAACUGCUAGGAUGAGUGCUAGCAAAGGUCAGGGAACAACAGGGCUCUUGCACAGCAAACUCGAGAGAAUGGCACUGUGUCUUUGUAUGGACCCCAUCUAGAGAGGAACGAAUCAAAGGAGUGAAGUGAUGCUCUGUCCUCCUCCAAUAUGACUUCUCCAUAGAGGAUGACAGACAACCUACAGAUGUACUUUACAAUUUAGACCCAUCGCUGUUUUCCUCUGCUCAGGAAAAGGCAUAUGUGAUCUACCAUCACCUAGCUAAACAAAUUAAAUGCUGUUUUGAAGUUUAGUUUUAGCAAAACACUAAUUUCAGACAGUGACAUCUUAUACGUGCCUUGAGGUUUCUACAAGCAGUCAGUCCACCAGUUAGGAUGCAGAACUAAAAAUUGCUAGCAUAAAUUUACUUUCAAUAACCAACUCUUUCUGUUUUAGACACCAAGAAGACAAUCUGGUGACAAAAUAAGUAUCGCAAGAUUACUUGUAAACCAGAUUUUACUAAGACUCAUUAUGUGAAUAAAUCACACAUACCACGGGGAAUAGCUCUGACUUUAAAACCAGAACGCUUUUUAGCCUUCUGCCGAAAUCACGGAGGACAGUCACAGUAACAUCAUGGAUAGUGUAUCCCAAACAUACAUAAUGCCAAAUAGAAUGAUGAUACGUACUUUCAAAGAUAUACUUCGUAGUCAAAUUAUAGAAAUUAUAAAAUAUAUUCAGUGCUUCAUUACAAGUUAUGAAUUAAAUUAUAUCAGUUGUACACCUUAAAUAUACAUGAGUUUUAGUUGUCAAUCAUACCUCAGUAAUACUGGGGGGGAAAGAAUUAGGUUAUUUAAAGGCAAUAUAGUACCUAAGUGACUAAGUACCUAAGUGACUAAGGUACUAUAGUACCUAGUGACUAAGGAUUUUUAGAUUCUGAUUCCAAGCUGACAGUUCAAAUCCCAGUUCUUUUACUUACUAACUGUAUAACCAGGAGCAAAUAAGUUAACCACUCCAUGCCUCAGUUUCUUCAUCUGUAAAUGGAGAUAAAAGUUCAACUCAAAGUUUUUGUAACGAUUAAUUAAGAUGACAUGCCUACUAGCACACGGAAAAUCUGCCAUUUGUGUCAGCUCUUAUAAAAUAUAAGGCAUGCUGUGGAAAAGAUCUUUAAAAAUCAAUACAUUCCAAAAAUAGUGUCAUGAAAAAUUUAUGCCAGAUUAAAAAUAAAAUAAUGCAAAACAAAAGUUUUCCCAAUUUAGAGAACAUUUACACUAAUAAAAGUGCUAGAAAUUCACAAAGUAUUACCUCUUCUUGACAAGAAAUGUUCAAAUCAGAGAAUCUAAAAUACCCCUAAUAAACCACACACCAGCAUGUGGUCAAGACUAUGGGGGGUAUUAAGUUGCUCCUCACUUUUGACUCCAUAAAGAGCUUAUGUUCUAGCUCAUUACUCUUCCUCCCCAGUAGUGGGGUACCUGUGUCAGCAAGACAGAGAACAGGUUGGUUAGGCCAUGGACCUGCCCAUUUUCCCACUUUUCCAGCUGUCCAGCAGUAGAGGGGAGAGACAGCAACUGGGCAGAGUUAUUAGCAAUGAUUUAGAUUUGGGUAGUAAAAACUGACAAUAAAACAAGCCAGAGGGUCUAAUAUCAUUCAUCUUUGUGAAACUGAGAUAGUAUUAGGAUUCCUAAUACCGUGCAAAUGUAAAUUAGCAUAACCCUUUUGGAAAAUAAUCUGGCAUUUGUAUUAAUUUUAAAAUGUUCAUAUUCUCUGAUCAUCUCCAAAACAGAAAGAGUAUGUUUUAUGCAUACAGUUGCUCAUCACGGCAUUAUUCAUACUGAUGAAAAUAUCAAAAAUCAGACAUUCAACAAGAGGGGUACCUGACAUACAAUGGAAUAUUAUAAAGUCAUUAAAAUAUAACUCCUAAGGUAUAUUAACAAAAAAAUUAUGCUGUAAUACUAAGUAGAAAACACUAUCAUUAUAUAUACAGUAAUUAUUAGGAAAGUAUAAAUAAACCCUAUCAAAACCAUACAAUCUUUGCACGUAAAAAAUUAGUGAGAAAUUGGGGAUGUCUGGUGGCUCAGUCAGCUAAAUAUCCAGCCUCGACUCAGGUCAUGAUCUUGUGGUUUGUGGAUUCGAGCUCUGCAUCAGGCUCUGUGCUGACAGCUCAGAGCUUGGAGCCUACUUCAGAUUCUGUCUCUCUUUCUCUCUGCCCCUCCCCGACUUAUGCUCUGCCUGCCUCCCCGCUCAAAAAUAAACAGUGACAAAAUGUAUCAAAUAUCAACAGUGGUUGAUCCAUCCGGAGGUGGAACUGUUGCUCCUCCCUGCUGAGUGUGGGAGUGCCAGGUAACUUGCCUUGACCAAGACAAUGCGACAGAAGUGAAGCUGUGCCAGUUCCAGGCAGCUUUACAAGGCCUGCAGCUUCCACUUGUGCAGGGUGCUAGUGCAGCCCAGGCUAGACUCAUGAACGACGAGACACUCCAAGGAGAGAGGGGUCACGCGGACGCAGGCAUCAGAAAUGCAAGUAAAGCCUCUUGGACCUUCCAGCUCAGACCAGCCAGCAGCUGACCAUAGAGGAGCAAGUGACUUUAGCAGACACUAAUACAGAACUAGCAGGCCUCAAUUCCUGACCCACAGAAAUAAUAGAUAAUAGAUAAUAAUAGAUAACAGAAAAAAAACAGUUAUCAUGUUCUGGUGUGCAACAAGAGACAACAGAAAUAGCAGAAUCUGUGAUGUAUUUCUUCUACUUUUUUGGUGUUUUUCAAACUUUCAAUGGAUUGUGUGUAAUUUUAUGUUUUUUCCUUUUAAAGAUAACAUUAAUUUUUCAUAUUAUAAAAUUGAUAAUGCCCACUGUAGACAAGUUUGAGAGACUAAAAAAAACACAUAUUUAAACCAAAAAAUAUGUAUAAUUCCCAGAGAACCACAAUUAACUUUUGGUACAUACUCUUCCAGUAUUCUACAUAUGAACACACUUAUACUACUCUCUCUACAUUAUAAAUGCAGGUCCAUCUGUAGAAACCUAUCCUUCAAGAAUGGUAAAAAAAAAAAAAAAAAAAAGCCAUGAAUUUAAUUUUAGAAACAAAGCCUGUUGAUUUCGGUUCAUACACUUCCCGAGUAAGUGAAACCUUUGCUAGGUUUCCUAACAGCAGACUAUGAUUACACGGGAAUUCCCCUGACGUGGGAAAAUGACAAUGGAUCAGAGAAAGAGACAUUUGCCUGGAGGAGACAGAUGAGCGAGGAGUCCAUGAAGUGGUCCAAGUGAGAGAUGACGAGGCCUGAACUAAGACACUGGUAACGAGGACAGAGAGGAAGGCCAGAGAUGAGAGAUACCAGGAAAGUGGAAGCAGUAGGAUUUCUCAUCCUGGAAUCAGGGAGGAGAGCAAGUAAGGUUAGAGGAAAGAGGCUCCCAGUUAUCCAUCCUGAGGGGUCAGUACGACAGAAAAUAGUAAAAGGAAGCAAUUUGUGUGAGUUGAAUGUGAAGACCUAGGGGAUAUGUAAGUGGACUUCAUCAGGCUGGUGAUUUCUUAGGACAUGAAUUCUGGUUUUCUAUCCUUAGUACCUGGCAUAUAAAAGGAAUCCAGGAAGCAAUUGCUAAGGGAACAUAAAUGUCUGGAGCUGGGGGUAGGCAUGUGGACACGAGAUUUGAAAGUCAUCAAUGUAUAGUUGCCAGCUGAAUCCCUGUUAAAUGGAUGAGAUUCUUCAGGAAAAAGAAAGAAGAAACCAAACCUGGCAGAAUUGUACAGAAAUGCCUCACCUGUAAAUGACAUUUUUAGCCAGUUCCACAUCAUCCCGGGUAUCACACAAAUGAAGGAAGGUUUUCAACUCGUCCUUCAAGAUGAGCUUAUUCUGGGCCAAUUUCUCUUUCAUGUUUCUCAGGUAGGUUGCUGGAAGAAAGCAGAGUGUGGUGGCCGUCACUCAGGCUGACUGGGACUGUCAGGAGUCUGACCUCAGGGAGAAGGGGAAGCUGGAUUCUGGCACACUGCAAAGAGGCACUGAGAGAGGCUCCCAUCACUGACUAGUGUCCUUAAGAGCAGUAUCACAGAAGGUCUAUGAAGCAAACCAUGUAUCUGUGCUACAGGAGCACAGGAUGGGGGCCCACUCAAAACUUUCUAACAUACAAUCUUUGAGGGUAAGAACACAGGAAUAUGCAAUUUUGACUACCUGGGUGACCCUUCUGCACACUAAAGUUUUAAGAACUAUGUCCCAGAGGCUUAGUCCAAAAAACUAUCGACAGGUGACCCAUUAGG